UGGGGAAUUUUGGACAAUGGGGGAAACCCUGAUCCAGCCAUCCCGCGUGUGCGAUGAAGGCCUUCGGGUUGUAAAGCACUUUUGGCAGGAAAGAAACGUCGCGGGUUAAUACCCCGCGAAACUGACGGUACCUGCAGAAUAAGCACCGGCUAACUACGUGCCAGCAGCCGCGGUAAUACGUAGGGUGCAAGCGUUAAUCGGAAUUACUGGGCGUAAAGCGUGCGCAGGCGGUUCGGAAAGAAAGAUGUGAAAUCCCAGAGCUUAACUUUGGAACUGCGUUUUUAACUACCGGGCUAGAGUGUGUCAGAGGGAGGUGGAAUUCCGCGUGUAGCAGUGAAAUGCGUAGAUAUGCGGAGGAACACCGAUGGCGAAGGCAGCCUCCUGGGAUAACACUGACGCUCAUGCACGAAAGCGUGGGGAGCAAACAGGAUUAGAUACCCUGGUAGUCCACGCCCUAAACGAUGUCAACUAGCUGUUGGGGCCUUCGGGCCUUGGUAGCGCAGCUAACGCGUGAAGUUGACCGCCUGGGGAGUACGGUCGCAAGAUUAAAACUCAAAUGAAUUGAC
This 566-nucleotide ribosomal RNA is filed under the name uncultured bacterium. RNAcentral's name for it is "partial 16S ribosomal RNA". It matches the Rfam family "Bacterial small subunit ribosomal RNA", at positions 355 to 914 of the family's 1533-position model. The record is from RNAcentral.